RNAcentral lists this ribosomal RNA (473 nucleotides) under uncultured bacterium. RNAcentral's name for it is "bacterial SSU rRNA". It matches the Rfam family "Bacterial small subunit ribosomal RNA", at positions 82 to 546 of the family's 1533-position model. The record is from RNAcentral.
AUCCUGGUGGCGAGUGGCGAACGGGUGAGUAAUAUAUCGGAACGUGCCCAGUCGUGGGGGAUAACGUAAAGAAAUUUACGCUAAUACCGCAUACGAUCUAAGGAUGAAAGCGGGGGACCGUAAGGCCUCGCGCGAUUGGAGCGGCUGAUAUCAAAUUAGGUUGUUGGUGAGGUAAAAGCUCACCAAGCCGACGAUCUGUAGCUGGUUUGAGAGAACGACCAGCCACACUGGGACUGAGACACGGCCCAGACUCCUACGGGAGGCAGCAGUGGGGAAUUUUGGACAAUGGGGCGAAAGCCUGAUCCAGCAAUGCCCGCGUGCAGGAAGAAGGCCUUCGGGUUGUAAACUGCUUUUGUACGGAACGAAAAAGGUCUUGCCCUAAUACGGCGGGUCCAUGACGGUACCGUAAGAAUAAGCACCGGCUAACUACGUGCCAGCAGCCGGCGGUAAUACGUAGGGUGCGAGCGUUAAUC